RNAcentral lists this ribosomal RNA (288 nucleotides) under uncultured bacterium. RNAcentral describes it as "partial 16S ribosomal RNA". It matches the Rfam family "Bacterial small subunit ribosomal RNA", at positions 29 to 334 of the family's 1533-position model. The record is from RNAcentral.
AACGAACGCUGGCGGCAGGCCUAACACAUGCAAGUCGAACGAGAAGCUUCUUUCGGGAAGUGGAGAGUGGCGCACGGGUGAGUAACGCGUGGGGAUUCGCCUUCUGGUACGGGAUAACGUUUGGAAACGAACGCUAAUACCGUAUGAAGUCUACGGACUAAAGAUUUAUCGCCAGGAGAUGAACCCGCGUAGGAUUAGAUAGUUGGUGGGGUAAUGGCCUACCAAGUCGACGAUCUUUAGCUGGUCCGAGAGGACGAUCAGCCACACUGGAACUGAGACACGGUCCAG